This 218-nucleotide unclassified non-coding RNA is filed under the name uncultured Cantharellales. RNAcentral's name for it is "sequence contains ITS2". Lineage: Eukaryota; Fungi; Basidiomycota; Agaricomycetes; Cantharellales. The record is from RNAcentral.
AGCUCUCAAGCAGAUAUAGCUUAAUUGUUAUGUUUGUUUGGAUUUGGACUCUGCUGUGUCAAUGCAGCUGGUCUUAAAUGUAUUAGCUGUUCCUUAUAAGAGGAUUUGGUUCUACUCGGCGUGAUAAUUAUCUAACGUCGAGGACGGUCUUUUUGGGACUGGCCAGAGAUAUCUUUGGAUUGCUUCUAAGUCGUGUCCUUUGGGCAUGUCAUUUGAUU